UUUAAUAACGACCUGGUUUUGCAUAAAUAUGCUGCUUUCUCAACAUGUAUCAACAUGUAAAAUUUGGCAACGACAUGAACCUACCCUGCAAGACGGAGGUAACAGAUUGCACAAACGCAUUGAAACAUUUUCAGCUGUUCACUAACACUGUUACAUUUUCUGUUCUUUUCAAUUGAAUGGGAGAAUACGAGAGACGAAUGCCCAAUUUUUCAAGAAGAAGAAAACGAAAAGCGCAGCUUAUUUUAGAUGUUAAAGAGCUGACCCCGCAUACGUUGACCUGCGUGAAAUUAUGUGUUUUGAAAUGAAAAGAAAGUUGAAUUUACGUUGGAAAUAUCAAUAGCAACCGAAGGUAUUAGCAAUCGUCGUUUUUCGGGUGGAUUAUGUAAACUCGUCCUAAGAAAUUAGUUGAGAACACACCUGGAUGUCAAUCUACUGGUUGGCCUUGCUUUCUGCGUAACUAUUUCUUCGUUGAUGCAUUCCAUGUAUAAUAUCAAGUCAUUUUCGAAUAGAGCAAUGUGCUCGCAAACGAAUCACUGACGCAAGUUGAGAAAAAACUCGUCAAUGUAAAUUUUGUUGUUGGAGGUUUUCCGCUGGCUGUACUGUAUUCUCUGGGUUGAAAAACACUCUUUAGCCAUUCUCCAAAUGAACUGCGAGACGCACAAUAGUCGAAAAAAGUUCAUGAAUUGCAAAAGUAAAUACCCUACAAAGCGCUUUAUUGCAAUUCAAGUAUCCACCGUAUCGUUCCAGACCAAUACUGAUAUGAGUUUUGAAUGUGAAUUAGACAACAGUGGAGAGUAUAGUACGAUCCAUAUAUUGUCAACUUCGAUAUUCACUACUCUAAGUUGUAUGGUCGUCUGAUGAGCUACGACGACAGAGUGGAUAUCCAUCAUUUCCAGUUUGCGAUUCCGAAAGAAAAGCACGUGGAUAGUGUUUCGUGCAUUUAUUGUUAGACAUACAAACCGAAGUGGGAUUGUGGUGUCCGCAAGGUCCAUGAACCAUAUUGGUUUUCAUCACUUCGUUUAAUACUGGAGCUUUCUCUACAUCAGGAAUUUCCGCAGAAAUGAUUUCAUCAAUUUGAUCUUUGUUUGUACGUCUGGUUAGUGGCAUUGUUAAAAACGAAAAUCCAACUGAAAAUAAAAUGAUCUCAUAUUUUUUCUGUUUAACCAUGAAUACCAAAUUGUAAUAUUGUGUAGUCAGCAAAAGUUACCAAAAAUCGAUAUAAGGUGAAUUUAACUUACCGUGAUUAAUAAACACUUAUUAGCAAACAAAACACUUCUUAGUC
Bactrocera neohumeralis is the source of this 1282-nucleotide long non-coding RNA. RefSeq lists it as uncharacterized. The transcript has 3 exons. NCBI's taxonomy places the organism in Eukaryota, Metazoa, Arthropoda, Insecta, Diptera, Tephritidae. The record is from RefSeq and is a predicted model, not a curated record.